GAUGAACGCUGGCGGCGUGCCUAAUACAUGCAAGUCGAGCGAACGGACGAGAAGCUUGCUUCUCUGAUGUUAGCGGCGGACGGGUGAGUAACACGUGGAUAACCUACCUAUAAGACUGGGAUAACUUCGGGAAACCGGAGCUAAUACCGGAUAAUAUUUUGAACCGCAUGGUUCAAAAGUGAAAGACGGUCUUGCUGUCACUUAUAGAUGGAUCCGCGCUGCAUUAGCUAGUUGGUAAGGUAACGGCUUACCAAGGCAACGAUGCAUAGCCGACCUGAGAGGGUGAUCGGCCACACUGGAACUGAGACACGGUCCAGACGCCUACGGGAGGCAGCAGUAGGGAAUCUUCCGCAAUGGGCGAAAGCAUGACGGAGCAACGCCGCGUGAGUGAUGAAGGUCUUCGGAUCGUAAAACUCUGUUAUUAGGGAAGAAAAUAUGUGUAAGUAACUGUGCACAUCUUGACGGUACCUAAUCAGAAAGCCACGGCUAACUACGUG
Molecule: ribosomal RNA, 497 nt
Filed under: uncultured bacterium
Lineage: Bacteria
Description: partial 16S ribosomal RNA
Rfam family: Bacterial small subunit ribosomal RNA
Source: RNAcentral